GGGGAAUAUUGGACAAUGGGGGGAACCCUGAUCCAGCCAUGCCGCGUGUGUGAAGAAGGCCUUAUGGUUGUAAAGCACUUUAAGCGAGGAGGAGGCUCUCUUGGUUAAUACCCAAGAUGAGUGGACGUUACUCGCAGAAGAAGCACCGGCUAACUCCGUGCCAGCAGCCGCGGUAAUACGGAGGGUGCAAGCGUUAAUCGGAAUUACUGGGCGUAAAGCGCACGCAGGCGGUCUGUCAAGUCGGAUGUGAAAUCCCCGGGCUCAACCUGGGAACUGCAUUCGAAACUGGCAGGCUGGAGUCUUGUAGAGGGGGGUAGAAUUCCAGGUGUAGCGGUGAAAUGCGUAGAGAUCUGGAGGAAUACCGGUGGCGAAGGCGGCCCCCUGGACAAAGACUGACGCUCAGGUGCGAAAGCGUGGGGAGCAAAC
Molecule: ribosomal RNA, 426 nt
Filed under: uncultured bacterium
Lineage: Bacteria
Description: bacterial SSU rRNA
Rfam family: Bacterial small subunit ribosomal RNA
Source: RNAcentral